GUUAAACGCCGUUAACUUUUUAUCACAUGUUUGACCGUUCGUCUUAUUCAAAAAAUUUAAGUAAUUAUUAAUUCUUUUCCUAUCAUUUGAUUCAUUGUUAAAUAUAUUUUUAUAUAGGCAUAUAAUUUUACAUAUCUCACAAAGUUUUUGAAUAAGACGAACGGUCAAACAUGUGCUAAAAAGUUAACGGUGUCAAAUAUU
RNAcentral lists this microRNA precursor (201 nucleotides) under Oryza glumipatula. Its description in RNAcentral is "MIR812 microRNA precursor family". It matches the Rfam family "MIR812 microRNA precursor family". The record is from Rfam by way of RNAcentral. Lineage: Eukaryota; Viridiplantae; Streptophyta; Magnoliopsida; Poales; Poaceae.